UCUAUGGCAAAUCUAUCUAAAAAUUGUAAAUGUAAAUAUUCUCUUCAUCAAUUUUCAGUGAGAAAUGAACACUUGAGUUAAACUCUUUUUCAUGAGGAAGGAUGCUAAUACAAAU
This is an unclassified non-coding RNA of Vulpes vulpes (red fox), 115 nucleotides long. NCBI's taxonomy places the organism in Eukaryota, Metazoa, Chordata, Mammalia, Carnivora, Canidae. The record is from Ensembl.